GGGGAUAUAACUCAACUGAUAGAGUGCUUGCAUCACAUGCAAAAGGCCCUGGGUUCAACCCCUCUUCCCCCC
Molecule: transfer RNA, 72 nt
Filed under: Ictidomys tridecemlineatus (thirteen-lined ground squirrel)
Lineage: Eukaryota; Metazoa; Chordata; Mammalia; Rodentia; Sciuridae
Description: Spermophilus tridecemlineatus (thirteen-lined ground squirrel) tRNA
Rfam family: tRNA
About the family: Transfer RNA (tRNA) molecules are approximately 80 nucleotides in length.
Source: Rfam by way of RNAcentral